AGCGCCUGCAGCCUGCAGAGCCGGAGCAGCCGGAGUGAGGACCCCCCGCAGGUACAGGGCGGGCGCUGUGAACCCGGGGCCGCAGGGCUCACACUCUGCGGGGAGGUGUGGGGCGCUGAGCCCGGUGCUGGCGCGCGGCCGGGCACAGUACAGAUUUGAAGACCGGAAUGGAGAAAACUGAAAUGAUUAAUGAAACA
Lontra canadensis (Northern American river otter) is the source of this 197-nucleotide long non-coding RNA. RefSeq lists it as uncharacterized. NCBI's taxonomy places the organism in Eukaryota, Metazoa, Chordata, Mammalia, Carnivora, Mustelidae. The record is from RefSeq and is a predicted model, not a curated record. The transcript has 3 exons.